Molecule: long non-coding RNA, 1268 nt
Organism: Papaver somniferum (opium poppy)
Lineage: Eukaryota; Viridiplantae; Streptophyta; Magnoliopsida; Ranunculales; Papaveraceae
Exons: 5
Source: RefSeq, a predicted model, not a curated record
UCUUCAGCAAACUGAUAAAAUCCAAAUUACCCCAACAGCUACCAUUUUUGGCAUCCUUGUUGGAGAUGAUAUCCCAUCAAAAUUGAUCUUGUGACACCCCCAACUAGAGAAUUGGACCAAAAAGAAAUCAAACACCAAAUACAUUCACUCUGUUCCCCAAAUUUUUGAAUACAUAUGCACCAAUAUGAAUUAUUGGUCCCAUCCCAUAAACAAAUGUUGACAUUUUUUUUGUUUUUACAAUUUUCAAUAAAAAAGUUGGUCCCCCAACAGAUUCCUUUAACCAGUUUUCCUCCAUGACCACCAUUAAUGGUCUCACACUGAUAAUCCUCAUCUCUCUCUCAGUGAAAACUCCUUCCAAAAUUUGGGCUUUUUACAAAACAAAAAAAUUGGAGUGGAGGAGGAGUACUGAGAGAGAUGUAAGGUUUUAAUGAGCAGUUAGUUUGAUUUGGAUCACUGUGUUCAACCAUGGAGAGGGUUUUUCAGAAAGCACUUGAGAAACAUUAUAGUAGGAGAAGAAACUUGGAAGUUGUGGACUGACAACAGUCUACAGAAGCAGAAGAAAGCUCAAUGAAUAAAUGCUAUAACUUUUGCACUGUAGUUUUUUGUGGCACCCUUUCCAGCCAACGGUAGAAGUUGGAACUACUUUAACUCCGUGUCCAGAAGAAAAAGAUGUUAGAGAUGCUUCAUGUAUUAGCACCGUUUCUAGCCUCCAAGGUUCUUAAAUGAAAUCCCAAUGCAUUCCAACCACUUCUCUGCUGCUCUGCUUAGAGUUUCCAGAUAGAUAUUCAAGGCAGCUCAGAAUUGAAUUGAAGAAGGAAAGAUCUCAGUUGUUGGGAAAAGGUGAGUUUUUAAGGUAAACAUACAGAAUACAAGUUUUCAGCUUUCAAGUUUCAACCAAACAUUAAAUGCCCCAUCUUUCUUAGAAAAUCUUGCAUACUUUUGGUUGGUCAGUAUUCCAUUCCCACAUCCAUACAAAAAUAAAUUUCAACGAAAGAGAAAAAUGGUCCCAAGGUUUUCCACUUCUUCUUCUUGCUUUCAAUUUGCACACUGCAAAGUCCAUCAAGUUUCAUAGCAUUAACCCAUGAGAAAUCCAGCCAUUUGGUUCAGAAAUUUUGAGACUGUUUUUGAGGUCACGUUAUGUAUAGUCUGUAAAUUUGUUGUUGCUGUACAAAUCAUUGUAUUAGACUCUUACUAUAUGGGAUAAUUGUACACUCUUAAAGUUCUCAAGUUCAUGGUACAUUAAAGUUUUUCAUUGUUUGUGGAUCUUA